ACUAGAGUAGCACUCGCAUAUCAAUAAGCGGAGGAAAAGAAACUAACAAGGAUUCCCCUAGUAACGGCGAGUGAAGCGGGAAGAGCUCAAAUUUGAAAUCUUAAAGGGUUUCCCUUUACGAAUUGUAGUUUAAAGAAGUGUUUUCUGUUGAGGUUUUGGUAAAAGUUCUUUGGAAUAGGACAUCAUAGAGGGUGAGAAUCCCGUAUUUGACCUUUACUUUCAACUUUGUGAUACACUUUCAAAGAGUCGGAUUGUUUGGGAAUGCAGUCCAAAAUGGGUGGUAAAUUUCAUCUAAAGCUAAAUAUUGGCGAGAGACCGAUAGCGAACAAGUACCGUGAGGGAAAGAUGAAAAGAACUUUGAAAAGAGAGUUAAACAGUACGUGAAAUUGUCAAAAGGGAAGCGUUUGACACCAGUGUUGUUUUUCUGAAAAUCAAUUAAAGAACUGUUUAUGCUAAGCUGUUUAGACUUUAUCAGCUAAUCUGUUUAGUUUUGAGCUUUUCUUUAAUGCACUUUUCAGUUAACAAGUCAACAUCAAUUUCUUUUGCUGUAAAAAAGCUUGAGGAAGGUGGCUUGAGAUUCGUCUUAAGUGUUUAUAGCCUCUUGCCUAUGCAGUCGGAGGGAUUGAGGUCUGCAGCGUAGAUCCUUCGGGGCUAAAUGCAUUUGUGCUAAGUUAUAGCAUUUUAUAGACAACUUGUUGACUAUGAUUUGUCUUGUAGCUUACUCGCUUAUGUUAUUUUACCUACGCUUAGGAUGUUGAGCGCAUGUCUCUCUCU
This 774-nucleotide ribosomal RNA is filed under the name uncultured Neocallimastigales. RNAcentral's name for it is "partial large subunit ribosomal RNA". It matches the Rfam family "Eukaryotic large subunit ribosomal RNA", at positions 20 to 616 of the family's 3401-position model. The record is from RNAcentral. Lineage: Eukaryota; Fungi; Neocallimastigomycota; Neocallimastigomycetes; Neocallimastigales.